UGGGGAAUAUUGCACAAUGGGCGCAAGCCUGAUGCAGCCAUGCCGCGUGUGUGAAGAAGGCCUUCGGGUUGUAAAGCACUUUCAGCGAGGAGGAAGGUGGUGAGCUUAAUACGCUCAUCAAUUGACGUUACUCGCAGAAGAAGCACCGGCUAACUCCGUGCCAGCAGCCGCGGUAAUACGGAGGGUGCAAGCGUUAAUCGGAAUUACUGGGCGUAAAGCGCACGCAGGCGGUUUGUUAAGUCAGAUGUGAAAUCCCCGGGCUCAACCUGGGAACUGCAUUUGAAACUGGCAAGCUAGAGUCUCGUAGAGGGGGGUAGAAUCCCAGGUGUAGCGGUGAAAUGCGUAGAGAUCUGGAGGAAUACCGGUGGCGAAGGCGGCCCCCCUGGACGAAGACUGACGCUCAGGUGCGAAAGCGUGGGGCAGCAAACAGGAUUAGAUACCCUGGUAGUCCAGCGCUGUAAAACGAUGUCGAUUUGGAGGUUGUGCCCUUGAGGCGUGGCUUCCGGAGCUAACGCGUUAAAUCGACCGCCUGGGGGAGUACGGCCGCAAGGUUAAAACUUAAAGGAAUUGACGGGGUCUAGCUG
RNAcentral lists this ribosomal RNA (584 nucleotides) under uncultured bacterium. Its description in RNAcentral is "partial 16S ribosomal RNA". It matches the Rfam family "Bacterial small subunit ribosomal RNA", at positions 355 to 926 of the family's 1533-position model. The record is from RNAcentral.